GGAGCGACGAACCCGAGCUUGCUCGGGGGCAAAGCCGCGAACGGGUGAGUAACACGUGGGUAAUCUGCCCUGUUGAUUGGGACAACCCCGGGAAACCGGGGCUAAUACCAAAUGUGCUCACAUCUACAUCAGUAGGAGUGAGGAAAGGAGGCUUCGGCUUCCGCAACGGGAUGAGCCCGCGGCCCAUUAGCUUGUUGGUGGGGUAAUGGCCUACCAAGGCUUCGAUGGGUAGCUGGUCUGAGAGGACGAUCAGCCACACUGGGACUG
This 267-nucleotide ribosomal RNA is filed under the name uncultured soil bacterium. Its description in RNAcentral is "partial 16S ribosomal RNA". It matches the Rfam family "Bacterial small subunit ribosomal RNA", at positions 63 to 321 of the family's 1533-position model. The record is from RNAcentral.